GGAGGGUGCGAGCGUUGUUCGGAAUUAUUGGGCGUAAAGCGCGUGUAGGCGGUUUGUUAAGUCUGAUGUGAAAGCCCCGGGCUCAACCUGGGAAGUGCAUUGGAAACUGGCAGACUUGAAUACGGGAGAGGGCAGUGGAAUUCCUGGUGUAGGAGUGAAAUCCGUAGAUAUCAGGAGGAACACCGGUGGCGAAGGCGGCUGCCUGGACCGAUAUUGACGCUGAGACGCGAAAGCGUGGGUAGCAAACAGGAUUAGAUACCCUGGUAGUCCACGCCGUAAACGAUGAGUACUAGGUGUUGCGGGUAUUGACCCCUGCAGUGCCGCAGCUAACGCAUUAAGUACUCCGCCUGGGAAGUACGGUCGCAAGACUAAA
Molecule: ribosomal RNA, 373 nt
Filed under: uncultured bacterium
Lineage: Bacteria
Description: bacterial SSU rRNA
Rfam family: Bacterial small subunit ribosomal RNA
Source: RNAcentral